Molecule: long non-coding RNA, 661 nt
Organism: Hippopotamus amphibius kiboko
Lineage: Eukaryota; Metazoa; Chordata; Mammalia; Artiodactyla; Hippopotamidae
Exons: 5
Source: RefSeq, a predicted model, not a curated record
CUCAUAGCACUUAAACGAUUGGGAAUCGAAGAUCCCACUACGACAUUUAAAAUGGCAGCUAAUGUCUGUGGAAACCCUGGAUGUUUAGGCGCAGGCUAAAGCUAGAGUUCUCUUACCCUUUGAUUACGGGCACCACUUUCCGAUAAAAACAUAGACCUGAAUGGCAUCAUCCAGUAUCCAAGGAAACCAUCUCUUGCAGUGCCCCUGAACAUCAUUCACCAUGGCCAGGAUGGAUUUGCUGUACACAGGAGUGACCUUCUCACCUGCCAUGCCCAUAGGAUGCAUCUUUCAACAUUUUGAGAAUAAAUGGAAGAAAAAGACUUAAAAGUAAAGUACCUUAAAACAUCUGACUUUAAGAGGUCUCUAAGUCCACUGAUGGCAGGAAAAUCUUCAGUGGUUCCAGAGACAAGCUGCUGGAAAUCCUGCACACUUAUUUCCUAGAAGGAAGUGAGCUGAUGAGGAGAGUAAUUCCUUCAGAGAGAUCCUCCCUUUAAAAAACUUUAAAGGACUCCAAAUUAAGCCAUAUCCAUUUCUAGGACCCUAAAGAGAAUCACAAAAGCCAGCGUCACUUGCUCAAUGUUAGGUGAUUUCAGGAGCCUUAAUAAGGGGAGAGCAAAGGGGGGGCAGGAUAGUGAAUAAAUUGUGAGAACCUGCCAAGUAA